ACUUGGCUCCAAGUCAACAAAAAACAUUGACAAAUGCCUGGUUUUCACUAGGUCAUAUUUGACGUCAAAUGCUGUCAAAAUAAUGAAAACGGGUUGUCAUAUGGUGUCAGUUGCGUUUGCCGGCAUUUUUGCCAACGAACGGCAAUUUAAAUUGACAGCGAAAUGAAAACAAUCAAAAUACGUUAUGUGGCAACAUUUGACAUCAAAAUUAGAUUUGCCAACAUGUUGGCAAAUUAUUUCCAUUUGCCGCGCGAAUGAUGUGCACAAAUAAAUAAAAAAGAUUUUUCACUUUUCAAGUUUUAAAAUGGCAGAAGAAAUGAGUGCAAAUACAGAAAUGUUAAUUCCAAGCAUCAAGCGGGUGCGAAAAAUGAAAACAAAGUGGACAGCGGAGGAGACUGAGCAACUAAUUCAAGAAGUGGAGUCAAGGGAAGGAACCUGGAAUUUCCUUUCCGCGGAUUAUCGCGAUAGGAAUUUGCGUGAGGCUCAGUGGCAUGAAGUGGCAGAAACACUAAAUAUGCCACGAGCCGAAGUAUCAGCCAAGUGGAACAGCCUUCGUUGUUCUUUUCGCGCGGCCUUCAACCGAAGGGCUCACACAAAAAGUGGACAAGGUGCUGGAAGAACGACUACCAUGAACCCACUCUACAAUUCGCUAAAGUUCCACGAGCCUACAUUAAAUGUUGAAGCGAGCACCACUUCAAAUUUAAUAAAUGUAAGUAUAUAUAGGUCUACAAGGUUCUAUCGAGCGUAUUGUGUGAAAGAUUAAAGCCCACCGUCAACAAACUGAUUGGACCUUAUCAGUGUGGCUUCAGACCUGGUAAAUCAACAACCGACCAGAUAUUCACCAUGCGCCAAAUCUUGGAAAAGACCCGUGAAAGGAGAAUCGACACUCACCACCUAUUCGUCGAUUUCAAAGCUGCUUUCGACAGCACGAAAAGGAGCUGCCUUUAUGCCGCGAUGUCUGAAUUUGGUAUCCCCGCAAAACUAAUACGGCUGUGUAAACUGACGUUGAGCAACACGAAAAGCUCCGUCAGGAUCGGGAAGGACCUCUCCGAGCCGUUCGAUACCAAACGAGGUUUCAGACAAGGCGACUCCCUAUCGUGCGACUUUUUCAAUCUGCUGCUGGAGAAAAUUAUUAGAGCUGCAGAACUGAAUCGAGCAGGUACAAUCUUUUAUAAGAGUGUACAGCUGCUGGCGUAUGCCGAUGAUAUUGAUAUCAUCGGUCUCAACACCCGCGCCGUUAGUUCUGCUUUCUCCAGACUGAACAAGGAAGCAACGCAAAUGGGUCUGGCAGUGAACGAGGGCAAGACGAAAUAUCUCCUGUCAUCAAAGAAACAGUCGUCGCACUCGCGACUUGGCACUCACGUCACUGUUGACAGUCAUAACUUUGAAGUUGUAGAUAAUUUCGUCUAUUUAGGAACCAGCAUUAACACCACCAACAAUGUCAGCCUGGAAAUCCAACGCAGGAUUACUCUUGCCAACAGGUGCUACUUCGGACUGAGUAGGCAAUUGAAAAGUAAAGUCCUCUCUCGACGAACAAAAACUAAACUCUAUAAGUCGCUCAUAAUUCCCGUCCUGCUAUAUGGUGCAGAGGCUUGGACGAUGACAACAACCGAUGAGUCGACGUUGCGAGUUUUCGAGAGAAAAGUUCUGCGGAAGA
Long non-coding RNA from Bactrocera dorsalis (oriental fruit fly), 1657 nucleotides. RefSeq lists it as uncharacterized. The record is from RefSeq and is a predicted model, not a curated record. The transcript is spliced from 3 exons. Lineage: Eukaryota; Metazoa; Arthropoda; Insecta; Diptera; Tephritidae.